CAGCUAACGCACUAAGUAGACCGCCUGGGGAGUACGGCCGCAAGGUUAAAACUCAAAUGAAUUGACGGGGGCCCGCACAAGCGGUGGAGCAUGUGGUUUAAUUCGAUGCAACGCGAAGAACCUUACCAGGCCUUGACAUCCUGAGAACUUUGUAGAGAUACAUUGGUGCCUUCGGGACCUCAGUGACAGGUGCUGCAUGGCUGUCGUCAGCUCGUGUCGUGAGAUGUUGGGUUAAGUCCCGUAACGAGCGCAACCCUUGUCCUUAGUUGCCAGCACUUCGGGUGGGAACUCUAAGGAGACUGCCGGGGUCAACCCGGAGGAAGGUGGGGAUGACGUCAAGUCCUCAUGGCCCUUAUGUCCUGGGCUACACACGUGCUACAAUGGUCGGUACAAAGCGCUGCGAAGCCGCAAGGUGGAGCGAAUCGCAAAAAGCCGGCCUCAGUACGGAUUGCACUCUGCAACUCGAGUGCAUGAAGUCGGAAUUGCUAGUAAUCGUCGAUCAGCAGGCGACGGUGAAUACGUUCCCGGGCCUUGUACACACCGCCCGUCACACCAUGGGAGUCGAGUGCUCCAGAAGUGGCCACGCUAACCCGCAAGGGAGGCAGGUCCCCAAGGAGUGUUUGGUAACUGGGGUGAAGUCGUAACAAGGUAGCCGUA
This 657-nucleotide ribosomal RNA is filed under the name uncultured Gammaproteobacteria bacterium. RNAcentral describes it as "bacterial SSU rRNA". It matches the Rfam family "Bacterial small subunit ribosomal RNA", at positions 848 to 1504 of the family's 1533-position model. Lineage: Bacteria; Pseudomonadati; Pseudomonadota; Gammaproteobacteria. The record is from RNAcentral.